Molecule: ribosomal RNA, 467 nt
Filed under: uncultured bacterium
Lineage: Bacteria
Description: partial 16S ribosomal RNA
Rfam family: Bacterial small subunit ribosomal RNA
Source: RNAcentral
GAUGAACGCUGGCGGCGUGCUUAACACAUGCAAGUCGAACGGAAAGGCCCAAGCUUGCUUGGGGACUCGAGUGGCGAACGGGUGAGUAACACACGGGUGAUCUGCCCUGCACUUCGGGAUAAGCCUGGGAAACUGGGUCUAUUACCGGAUAGGACCUCUUUUUGUAUGGUGUGGUGGAAAGUUUUUCGGUGUGGGAUGAGCUCGCGGCCUGUCAGGUUGUUGGUGGGGUAAUGGCCUACCAAGGCGUCGACGGGUAGCCGGCCUGAGAGGGUGUACGGCCACAUUGGGACAGAGAUACGGGCCAGACUCCUACGGGGGGCAGCAGUGGGGAAUAUUGCACAAUGGGCGCAAGCCUGAUGCAGCGACGCCGCGUGGGGGAUGACGGCCUUCGGGUUGUAAGCUCCUUUCGCUAGGGACGAAGCGUUUUUGUGACGGUACCUGGAGAAGAAGCACCGGCUAACUACGUG